This 462-nucleotide ribosomal RNA is filed under the name uncultured bacterium. RNAcentral's name for it is "partial 16S ribosomal RNA". It matches the Rfam family "Bacterial small subunit ribosomal RNA", at positions 29 to 507 of the family's 1533-position model. The record is from RNAcentral.
AACAAACGCUGGCGGCGUGCCUAAUACAUGCAAGUCGAACGGGGAAAGCUUUCGGGUGAGUACUAGUGGCGCACGGGUGAGGAACGCGUGGAUAAUCUGCCUUAGAGUGGGGGAUAACUAGUCGAAAGAUUAGCUAAUACCGCAUAAGACCACGAGAGCUGCGGCUUUUGAGGUCAAAGGUUUUUCGCUCUAAGAUGAGUCCGCGUAAGAUUAGCUAGUUGGUGAGGUAACGGCUCACCAAGGCGACGAUCUUUAACUGGUCUGAGAGGAUGAUCAGUCACACUGGAACUGAGACACGGUCCAGACUCCUACGGGAGGCAGCAGUAGGGAAUAGUGCACAAUGGAGGAAACUCUGAUGCAGCGACGCCGCGUGAGAGAUGAAGGCCUUCGGGUCGUAAAGCUCUGUCGCAGGGGAAUAACACAAUGAAGGUACCCUGUAAGAAAGGAUCGGCUAACUUCGUG